GUUGCUUCUAUCUACCAAAUUUCAUGGUGAUCCAAGAUAUGACAUCCAAGAUGUGUAUUCUCAAAGCAAGGUGACUUGACCUGCCUAGGAAGCAAACCUCUUUCUUUUUAAAAAUUCACUUAAAAUCAGAUAAUAAUUUAAAAUUGACAAGUAUAAUUUUUCCUAAAACCGAACUUAGUAGAAUUUCUUUUCCAACAAAUUUCAGUACAAAAAUGUAAGUAAGUACUAAGAUAAAGUUUUUCAAAGCUAGUUAUUCAAUACUACCAAGGCAAUAGAUCUUUUCACAUUUAAAAAU
Molecule: long non-coding RNA, 295 nt
Filed under: Physcomitrium patens
Lineage: Eukaryota; Viridiplantae; Streptophyta; Bryopsida; Funariales; Funariaceae
Description: long non-coding RNA (PPAT_LNC005189)
Source: RNAcentral